RNAcentral lists this long non-coding RNA (596 nucleotides) under Ananas comosus (pineapple). Its description in RNAcentral is "long non-coding RNA (ACOM_LNC002884)". Lineage: Eukaryota; Viridiplantae; Streptophyta; Magnoliopsida; Poales; Bromeliaceae. The record is from RNAcentral.
UUAAAAACUAUAUGCACAAAAAAAAUCAUCUAAACUUUUGUUCAUUUAAACUUUCAAAAAUUUUAUAUUUAUGAAUAAAACUUUCAAAAUUUUAUAAUUGACCACUUAUAUUUAUAUUUCACUGAUUUAAAAUUUAUCAUUAUCACAUUUAAUUUACAAACAUCAAAUAUUAAAAAAAUUCAUAAUUAAAUUGAAUUUUAAUGACCAUUUUAUUUUAUAUUAUCAACAUAUGCCCUUCAUUAUUGCUUAAUCAUUUGAGUAAUAAUAGUGAUCACUUUAAAUUAUUAAAAUAUACAAAGAUGAUAAAUGCAAAUUGUGAAAAAUUUAGGUAGAAAAUAUAUAUAAAAGUUUGAAAAUUUAGCAGGUAAUGUACAACAUGCGAAAAUAUGGAUAAUUAUAAUAUAUUUACAUGCUAUUUGAAAGCGAAAAGUCGAAGGACGAGAAACUCGUGAGUUUCGCAAAUUCGACUUAUUACUCCCCACCACGUACCGAAGUCGAAAAGCUGAUCCCUAUACAAUUGUAAGCAGGAGUUUAGAUGAUUUCAUGUCGAUAACUUUCUCAGAGUCACGAGUUCAGCCUCCGAGAUCCACUUAAAU